Molecule: ribosomal RNA, 434 nt
Filed under: uncultured bacterium
Lineage: Bacteria
Description: partial 16S ribosomal RNA
Rfam family: Bacterial small subunit ribosomal RNA
Source: RNAcentral
AGCGAACGCUGGCGGCAGGCCUAACACAUGCAAGUCGAACGAACCUUUCGGGGUUAGUGGCGGACGGGUGAGUAACACGUGGGAACGUGCCUUUAGGUUCGGAAUAACUCAGGGAAACUUGUGCUAAUACCGAAUGUGCCCUUCGGGGGAAAGAUUUAUCGCCUUUAGAGCGGCCCGCGUCUGAUUAGCUAGUUGGUUGAGGUAAUGGCUCACCAAGGUGACGAUCAGUAGCUGGUCUGAGAGGAUGAUCAGCCACAUUGGGACUGAGACACGGCCCAAACUCCUACGGGAGGCAGCAGUGGGGAAUCUUGCGCAAUGGGCGAAAGCCUGACGCAGCCAUGCCGCGUGAAUGAUGAAGGUCUUAGGAUUGUAAAAUUCUUUCACCGGGGACGAUAAUGACGGUACCCGGAGAAGAAGCCCCGGCUAACUUCGUG